GUUGGGAGAUGAUGAUAAAAUUUAAACAAAUCACCAGAGGCAUCUGCUCUGCUGACAAUCUAUUUUGCACGUCAGUCUGAUCCCAUU
Molecule: small nucleolar RNA, 87 nt
Organism: Manihot esculenta (cassava)
Lineage: Eukaryota; Viridiplantae; Streptophyta; Magnoliopsida; Malpighiales; Euphorbiaceae
Product: small nucleolar RNA Z122
Exons: 1
Source: RefSeq, a predicted model, not a curated record